This 73-nucleotide transfer RNA is filed under the name Bacteriophage sp. RNAcentral's name for it is "tRNA-Thr". It matches the Rfam family "tRNA". Rfam says of the family: Transfer RNA (tRNA) molecules are approximately 80 nucleotides in length. Their secondary structure includes four short double-helical elements and three loops (D, anti-codon, and T loops). Further hydrogen bonds mediate the characteristic L-shaped molecular structure. tRNAs have two regions of fundamental functional importance: the anti-codon, which is responsible for specific mRNA codon recognition, and the 3' end, to which the tRNAs corresponding amino acid is attached (by aminoacyl-tRNA synthetases). tRNAs cope with the degeneracy of the genetic code in two manners: having more than one tRNA (with a specific anti-codon) for a particular amino acid; and 'wobble' base-pairing, i.e. permitting non-standard base-pairing at the 3rd anti-codon position. The record is from RNAcentral.
GCUUCUAUAGCACAAUUGAUAGUGCAGCACUCUUGUAAAGUGCAGGUUAUUGGUUUGAGUCCAAUUAGAAGCU